AACGAACGCUGGCGGCAUGCCUAACACAUGCAAGUCGAACGAGCCCUUCGGGUCUAGUGGCGCACGGGUGCGUAACGCGUGGGAACCUGCCCUUAGGUUCGGAAUAACUCCCCGAAAGGGGUGCUAAUACCGGAUAAUGUCUUCGGACCAAAGAUUUAUCGCCUUUGGAUGGGCCCGCGUUGGAUUAGCUAGUUGGUAGGGUAAAAGCCUACCAAGGCGACGAUCCAUAGCUGGUCUGAGAGGAUGAUCAGCCACACUGGGACUGAGACACGGCCCAGACUCCUACGGGAGGCAGCAGGGGGUAAUAUUGGACAGUGGGCGAAAGCCUGAUCCAGCAAUGCCGCGUGAGUGAUGAAGGCCUUAGGGUUGUAAAGCUCUAUUACCCGGGAUGAUAAUGACAGUACCGGGAGAUUAAGCUCCGGCUAACUCCGUG
This 433-nucleotide ribosomal RNA is filed under the name uncultured bacterium. RNAcentral describes it as "partial 16S ribosomal RNA". It matches the Rfam family "Bacterial small subunit ribosomal RNA", at positions 29 to 507 of the family's 1533-position model. The record is from RNAcentral.